RNAcentral lists this unclassified non-coding RNA (335 nucleotides) under soil metagenome. RNAcentral describes it as "partial contains 5.8S ribosomal RNA, internal transcribed spacer 2, and large subunit ribosomal RNA". The stretch from base 1 to 120 matches the Rfam family "5.8S ribosomal RNA", at positions 35 to 154 of the family's 154-position model. The record is from RNAcentral.
GAUGAAGAACGCAGUGAAAUGCGAUAAGUAAUGUGAAUUGCAGAAUUCAGUGAAUCAUCGAAUCUUUGAACGCACAUUGCGCCCAUUAGCAUUCUAGUGGGCAUGCCUGUUCGAGCGUCAUUUCAACCCUUAAGCCCUGUUGCUUAGCGUUGGGAGCCUACAGUACUGUAGCUCCCCAAAGUUAGUGGCGGAGUCGGUUUCACACUCUAGACGUAGUAAUUUUUUCUCGUCUGUAGUUAAGCCGGUCCCCUGCCGUAAAACACCCAAUUUAUCAAGGUUGACCUCGGAUCAGGUAGGAAUACCCGCUGAACUUAAGCAUAUCAAUAAGCGGAGGA